RNAcentral lists this ribosomal RNA (2232 nucleotides) under Triticum aestivum (bread wheat). RNAcentral describes it as "partial small subunit ribosomal RNA". Lineage: Eukaryota; Viridiplantae; Streptophyta; Magnoliopsida; Poales; Poaceae. The record is from RNAcentral.
AUGGGAAGCUUCAAGGUCUCCUUGCUUUUCUCCCUUCUCACUUUCCUCCUGCUCGCCAUUGUCACCGCCGGGGACGACCUGGGGACGUACGUCAUCCACGUGCAGCCCCAGGAGGACCGCCAGUUCGGCACGACCGACGACGACCGGAAGGCGUGGCACCAGUCCUUCCUCCCCGAGCAUGGCCGUCUGCUCCACUCCUACCACCACGUCGCGACCGGCUUCGCGGCGCGGCUGACGCGGCGGGAGCUCGAAGCCGUCUCAGCCAUGCCCGGGUUCGUCGCCGCGGUGCCGGACGUGAUCUACCAUGUGCAGACGACGCACACGCCGCAGUUCCUCGGGCUGGACACGGCGCUGGGCACGAGGAACUUAUCCGUUGGGUCCGGCGAAGGCGUCAUCAUCGGGGUGCUCGACACCGGUGUCUUCCCCGACCACCCCUCCUUCAGCGGCAUCGGCAUGAUGCCGCCGCCAGCCAAGUGGAAGGGGAGGUGCGACUUCAACGGCUCUGCGUGCAACGGACACAAGCUGAUCGGUGCUCGGACCUUCAUCAGCAGCGGCAAUGGCAGCUCUCCUGGCGCCGCCCCCGUGCCUCCGAUCGACGGGCAUGGGCACGGCACGCACACGUCCAGCACCGCCGCAGGAUCAGCCGUACCGGGGGCUCAGGUGUUCGGGCAGGCAAACGGCACCGCGUCCGGCAUCGCGCCCCGCGCGCACCUCGCCGUGUACAAGGUUUGCGAUGAGAACGGCAACUGCGCCGGCAUAGAUGUGCUCGCUGCCAUCGACGCCGCCAUUUCCGACGGCUGCGACGUUAUAUCCAUUUCGCUCGGCUUUCCGCCGCGGCCUUUCUACAACGACAGCGUCGCCAUCGGCACGUUCGCCGCAGCGGAGAAGGGGAUUUUCGUCAGCAUGGCGGCUGGCAACGGCGGCCCGAGAAACUCCUCGAUAUUGAAUGAGGCGCCAUGGAUGCUCACCGUCGCCGCGAGCACCAUGGACCGUUUGAUCAGCGCUAAGGUUAUCCUUGGAGACAACCUCUCCUUCGACGGCGAGUCGCUCUACCAGCCCGACAACUCCGUGGAGGCCUCGUCGGUCUACGCCGGUGCGAGCUCGGCGCAUUUGGCCCAGUUCUGCGGCAACGGCUCGCUGGACGGCUUUGACGUCAAGGACAAGAUAGUGCUGUGCGACACCGGUCGCUACUCGCCGGUGGACAUGGGAGCCGAGGUGCUGAGAGCCGGAGGCGUAGGCAUGAUUGUGGGCAACCUGUUUUUGGAGGGCUACAUCACGUUCCCGGACGCGCACGUCCUGCCGGCCUCGCAAGUCAGCUAUGCUGCUGGAGUGGAGAUCAAGAACUACAUCAAUUCCACGACGAACCCGACGGCAACUAUCUCCUUCAGAGGCACGCUCCUCGGGACGUCGCCGGCGCCGGUCAUCACCUACUUCUCCUCCCGUGGCCCCAACGUCCACAGCCCCGGCAUUCUGAAGCCCGACAUCACGGGCCCGGGCGUGAACGUAAUCGCGGCGUGGCCGUUCCAAGUCGGCCCGCCGUCAAUUGACCUCAGGCCGACCUUCAACAUUCUCUCCGGCACGUCCAUGUCGACGCCGCACCUUGCUGGUGUCGCCGCGCUGAUCAGGAGCAAGCACCCCAGCUGGUCGCCGGCGGCGAUCAAGUCCGCAAUAAUGACGACCGCCGACGUCACCGACCGCUCCGACAUGCCGAUACUCGAGGAGCAGCACAAGGCUGCCGACCUCUUCGCCGUCGGAGCCGGCCAUGUCAAUCCGGAGAAGGCCGUGGACCCCGGCCUGAUAUUUGACAUUUCCCCAGACAACUACAUCAGCUACCUCUGCGGCAUGUACAAGAGCGAAGAGGUCUCAGUGAUCGCGCGCCGCGCUGUGAAUUGCUCGGCCGACAUGGCGAUCCCAGACUACCAGCUGAACUACCCGUCGGUCUCGGUGUCGUUCCCGCCAACGUGGAGCACAGGUCCUCCAAUGUCGGUGGGGCGCACGGUGACGAACGUCGGAGAGGUGCCGGCGGUGUACUACCCCGAGGUCGACAUGCCGGCAGACAGCCCUGUGACCGUCACUGUUUUUCCGGACAAGCUUUUGUUCACCGAGGCGAACCAAGUCCAGAAAUUCGAUAUAGACGUGGAGGCGAAGAACAGCAGCGCCACGGCGGUGCAGGGUGCGAUCCGGUGGGUGUCUGUCAAGCACACAGUGAGGAUCCCCAUCUCGGCCGCCUUU